This 382-nucleotide transfer-messenger RNA is filed under the name Bacilli. RNAcentral describes it as "RUG343 sp902789225 Standard tmRNA". It matches the Rfam family "transfer-messenger RNA". Rfam says of the family: Bacterial tmRNA, also known as 10Sa RNA or SsrA, is named for its dual tRNA and mRNA-like properties. Its role is to liberate the mRNA from a stalled ribosome. To accomplish this part of the tmRNA is used as a reading frame that ends in a translation stop signal. Lineage: Bacteria; Bacillati; Bacillota. The record is from RNAcentral. RNAcentral also lists the same sequence under 1 other name.
GGGGAUGACUUGGUUUCGACAGGAAUAUAAGAGCAUAGACUGCAAGUCGGAGGAACACGUCACGAACACAAGCAAUAAAUGCUAAAAAUUUAAAAAAUACAUUUGCUAACAUGUUUGGUGGAAAUCAAACAUCUUAUGCCUUUGCCUAAUAAUAUAAGGGAAUGUGCUCUAUCUAUUUUUACUUACGGAAUAGAAUAGGGUUCAAUAAGUAAGUUAUAGCUAUUGUCUGUCUAAACAAUAGAAAGAAUACCAAAGACUAGCAUAAAUAGUAUACGUUCGUUAAUUACCGGCUAAUUAUGCGAAUAUAUGUAGUUAACUAAACUUGUAGAAGUUUAUGUAGCUUUAUUUUUGGACAGGAGUUCGAUUCUCCUCAUCUCCACCA